Acyrthosiphon pisum (pea aphid) is the source of this 783-nucleotide long non-coding RNA. RefSeq lists it as uncharacterized. The record is from RefSeq and is a predicted model, not a curated record. The transcript is spliced from 3 exons. Lineage: Eukaryota; Metazoa; Arthropoda; Insecta; Hemiptera; Aphididae.
AAUAUGUUAUUAAUGUGCUCAAUGGCAGACAAUUAAACUGUUUGAUAGAGCUGCAACUAGUGAUGUAAGUUGUCAAUCUUAUACUGUUAACAUUAAGAGUACUCUUAACUACUAAACUAUUAUUUACAUUAUCUUAACUAGUUAAUUACAUUUAUUUAGGUGCAAGAAACUAUACAAAAAAAAAUAUAUGCCAAAAGGUCAAAAUUAUUUUACAACUAACGGCUAUUUUGCAAUUUUACCUACUGAGGAAAUUAUAGGACAAAAACUGAUAAUGACUAAAUUAUUAUCAUAUUAAGCCAUUGAGUUAAAAAUUUAUAUUGAUGUUGUAAUGAUCCAUCAAAUAUUUUACGAGGCAAUUAAACACAAACCAUAAGAUUAUGUAGAUCCAAAAUUACAGGAUAGUAAAGGUAGGCUAUUGAGUCCGGGAUUCAGUGCAUUAGUACAUAAAAAUUAUUAAAUUAUUACAUAUAGAGAGGAGCGUGACAAAAUAAUGACUAAUAAUAACAUAAAUAUGUCGUUUUACGGUACAGAGGUUUUGAAUAAAAUGAUUUCUAAUUUUAAUCUUUGUAUAAAACAAAUUGACAAUUAUCAGAAUCAUAUCCAACCAUUUGAUGUCAACCUGAUAGUGUGUACACACAACAUUAUCUGACAUACAAUAAGUAUAAUAUUGGAAAAAAAUUAAUUGGCAAUUCGAGUUGACUUGAUGUCAAACAUUAAUAAAGAAAAAGUGAUAUAUGGCUGCUUGGAAAAUAAAUAGAAUGGUACAGAUACAAUGAAUUAAAA